AGCGUAGGUGGCUUGAUAAGUCAGAUGUGAAAUCCCCGGGCUUAACCUGGGAACUGCAUCUGAAACUGUUAGGCUAGAGUAGGUGAGAGGGAAGUAGAAUUUCAGGUGUAGCGGUGAAAUGCGUAGAGAUCUGAAGGAAUACCGAUGGCGAAGGCAGCUUCCUGGCAUCAUACUGACACUGAGGCUCGAAAGCGUGGGUAGCAAACA
RNAcentral lists this ribosomal RNA (207 nucleotides) under uncultured Psychrobacter sp. Its description in RNAcentral is "partial 16S ribosomal RNA". It matches the Rfam family "Bacterial small subunit ribosomal RNA", at positions 568 to 774 of the family's 1533-position model. The record is from RNAcentral. Lineage: Bacteria; Pseudomonadati; Pseudomonadota; Gammaproteobacteria; Moraxellales; Moraxellaceae.